AUAGUAAAUCGGUAGGUGAGACUACCAUGGAGAUACGGAUGACUACCGCAAAAUAGUGGAGACACUAUUCGUUGGUCAGCAGCCUCUGUCGUGAAGGCAGAGACUAAUGUCAUUUCAUCGCUCCAUGAUGUUAAAGCUUGGACGAGAAUAUAAGAA
Granulicatella adiacens ATCC 49175 is the source of this 156-nucleotide regulatory RNA element. It matches the Rfam family "M-box riboswitch aptamer (ykoK leader)". From Rfam's summary of the family: M-box riboswitch, also know as ykoK leader is described as a metaloregulatory RNA that sense divalent metals and function as a genetic control element of genes related to divalent metal transport in bacteria. It was first reported upstream of the B.subtilis ykoK gene and genes with related functions in other bacteria. Phylogenetic analysis of the distribution of M-box RNAs across bacterial genomes revealed that M-box riboswitches are most often employed for the regulation of Mg2+ transporter genes The record is from Rfam. NCBI's taxonomy places the organism in Bacteria, Bacillati, Bacillota, Bacilli, Lactobacillales, Carnobacteriaceae.